AGUGAACGCUGGCGGUAGGCCUAACACACGCAAGUCGAACGGCAGCACAGUAAGAGCUUGCUCUUACGGGUGGCGAGUGGCGGACGGGUGAGGAAUACAUCGGAAUCUACUUUUUCGUGGGGGAUAACGUAGGGAAACUUACGCUAAUACCGCAUACGACCUACGGGUGAAAGCAGGGGAUCUUCGGACCUUGCGCGAUUGAAUGAGCCGAUGUCGGAUUAGCUAGUUGGCGGGGUAAAGGCCCACCAAGGCGACGAUCCGUAGCUGGUCUGAGAGGAUGAUCGGCAACAUGGGACCUGAGACACGGCCCAGACCCCUCCGGGAGGCAGCAGUGGGGAAUAUUGGACAAGGGGCGCAAGCCUGAUCCAGCCAUACCGCGUGGGUGAAGAAGGCCUUCGGGUUGUAAAGCCCUUUUGUUGGGAAAGAAAAGCAGCAGGUUAAUACCCCGCUGUUCUGACGGUACCCAAAGAAUAAGCACCGGCUAACUUCGG
Molecule: ribosomal RNA, 491 nt
Filed under: uncultured bacterium
Lineage: Bacteria
Description: partial 16S ribosomal RNA
Rfam family: Bacterial small subunit ribosomal RNA
Source: RNAcentral